Molecule: ribosomal RNA, 346 nt
Filed under: uncultured bacterium
Lineage: Bacteria
Description: bacterial SSU rRNA
Rfam family: Bacterial small subunit ribosomal RNA
Source: RNAcentral
AGAGUUUGAUCAUGGCUCAGGAUGAACGCUAGCUACAGGCUUAACACAUGCAAGUCGAGGGGCAGCAUGUUGGUUGCUUGCAACCAAUGAUGGCGACCGGCGCACGGGUGAGUAACGCGUAUCCAACCUACCCUUGUCCAUCGGAUAACCCGUCGAAAGGCGGCCUAACACGAUAUGCGGUUCACAGCAGGCAUCUAAGGUGAACGAAAUGUGAAGGAGAAGGAUGGGGAUGCGUCUGAUUAGCUUGUUGGCGGGUAACGGCCACAAGGCUACGAUCAGUAGGGUUCUGAGAGGAACGGUCCCCCANAUUGGAACUGAGACACGGUCCAAACGUCCUACGGGAGCA